Lactuca sativa (garden lettuce) is the source of this 898-nucleotide non-coding RNA. Lineage: Eukaryota; Viridiplantae; Streptophyta; Magnoliopsida; Asterales; Asteraceae. The record is from RefSeq and is a predicted model, not a curated record.
UAUUCAAAGGGAACAUGCUGGAUAUAUUUAUAAAGUGAAAUGACUACUCUUUCCCUUUUUGUCAACAAUUUUAUGUGGCUUGAUUGACUUGGGUUGUUUAUUCUCUUCAUGUUACAAUUAUCACGUGCGAAUGAUUAGAAAUGUAGCUAUUAUUGCCACUUAAAUUUUGUGUCUUCCACGAUAUUACCCAAGACCCACAUGGCUUUGUAUGGGUAUAAAUAUGUGAUCCUACUUAUUUCCUAUUUCAACGUGUACAUCAAAUUCAUUCUCUCCUCCAAGAUUGUAUCUUUUUGAAAAAACGUACACAACACGCAUGAUGAAAGGCUUGGUGUUAGUGAAACCGAAUGCAAGGCUUCCACCUAAACGAGGUGAAGUAAAAAUACGUAUUUUUCAUCUCAUUAUCGAGCUUCUUAAGGAGACAGUGAUCGGUCUACCCGAUGAUAAUACUAAGGAAGGACACUCGGUACAUUUUAGAGUUUAGAGGGCAUGGUGUUUCUUGAAAAUCUAUGCAUUUUUUCAAGAUUAUAUAUGAAACUCUGUUAUUAAUAGGAUUGGAAACUAGUGAGGUGAUGAAGUCAUAUGACAUCAAGGUUUCAUGGUGUUCAACUUUGCUUGAAUGUCAAGCGCAUAUGAAUCUAUAAUAUGAAAUGGUGGUUAUUUCACCUUGAUGUUGCAUAAUGUGGAAUGGAUUCAUGAAAUAAUACGGUGUAUUGUAAUGGAAUAAAAUAGUUAGGUGAUAUUCCACUAGAAGGAAAAAAAAGCAUAUGCAUAAUUGUGCUAUAGAAGAAAAAAAAAGAGCAAGCAUGCUACAAUAUUCAUGUAAUGUGGAGACUUGGAGAUUAACUUGCAUUAUGUAAUCAUAUUUAAUUACAAUAAAAAUAUUAUAAAAUGUUUAAUC